This 1022-nucleotide long non-coding RNA is filed under the name Coturnix japonica (Japanese quail). Its description in RNAcentral is "lncRNA (ENSCJPG00005004652.1)". Lineage: Eukaryota; Metazoa; Chordata; Aves; Galliformes; Phasianidae. The record is from RNAcentral.
CCAAUAUAGAAUGUUUAUUGUACCAUAUCCCCUCUUCAUUCUAGCCCUGACAUCUUCCAGGAAAAAAAAAGUGCAACAUAUCAGCUUGAUGACAAAUGAGAAUGCCUCCCUUUGAAGUUUCUGAAAAUAAUGUGAAAGAUUAGGAAAACAGUACUGCCUCCCACUACAUUCUGUGUUUUCUUCCUCUCUUCUGCUGCAAGAGAUAUUGGAGGAAAAUGUGCAAUGACCAAGAUUUGUACUGGCUAACAGGAAAUGGGAUAUGGAUUUGUUUUACUAUUUCUCCACUGACAUCAGAGAUUAUGACAACAAACAUGGCCAGCCAUGGAUCAGAACGAUGGAGCACUUCAGAUCCAGGGCCUUUCUUGAGUUUUCUAGAGCAUGGAAGAUUGGCAUUCUGAAACACAAUGAGUCAAAAAUGUCAGUACUGAAGAUAUAUAUGUAUCAAAAGCUGCUGAAAAUAACUUCUAAAGACAUGGAUAAUUUUACUCUAUCUUGCUCACCUAGAAACACUGCGCACACUUUUGUUUUUGUAGUAACAUUUAAAGGACAUAUUUAAAAAGUUGAACAAAAAGUUUGAUAUCAGCACAGAAGCUGACUAUUUCUUCUAUUUCAGUUAGCCACAUGAACAAAUUCAAUUUUUAAACCCUCUCAUUCUCUGCAUUCUCCUUCUAAAGCAAUCACCACAUUUAUUCCUUACCAUUACACAGCGCUUUUUCUCUAACCCACUUGAAGGUUAUAGACCCAGCACUUGCCUAAAAGACGGAAAAAUCCAUCUGAUGUAUAUGGUAUUACUCUGUCCUUUACGUACCUAUUAUAGACUUCUUUGAUGUGGCUUUUUGUUCAGUAUUAGUGACCAUAUGAUUCUAUGGGUAUAACCUCAUUUGACCCUUGAUGCACUGACUCAAAAUAAGUUCAGAAAAAUCAUAAUUGUAAGAAAACUCAUUGAAUUCUGAAUGUGACAUGUUCACGCAUGUGAUUAUGAACAUAAGAAUCCUAAAGUAGUGACUAUGCUUCAAUAUAUG